AAGUCGUAACAAGGUCUCCGUUGGUGAACCAGCGGAGGGAUCAUUCAAGUACGCCCGCGCGCCCCGAAAGGGUGCUGCGCGGUUCGUUCAGCCCCUGUGAACCGUCUACCUUUUAAACGUUGCCUCGGCGGAUGGGCCCCCUGGGGCCGCCGCCGAAGGCCCCCUAGCAAGCUCUAGCCACCGUGGCCUACUUCUGAUUUAUAGCAUUUAUGAAACGCUAAAAACUUUCAACAACGGAUCUCUUGGCUCCA
This 251-nucleotide unclassified non-coding RNA is filed under the name fungal sp. Its description in RNAcentral is "partial internal transcribed spacer region". The stretch from base 1 to 46 matches the Rfam family "Eukaryotic small subunit ribosomal RNA", at positions 1786 to 1831 of the family's 1831-position model. The record is from RNAcentral. Lineage: Eukaryota; Fungi. RNAcentral also lists the same sequence under 1 other name.